GUCCGAUUCGGCCGGACAUAUGAUGGCCACCAUACACUCUGCCAGCGACCGGUUUAUAUGGCGGCAUGCUAAGUCCCUCUCCCUGCCGGCCGCAAACCGGCGGUGACACCCAGUUAAGGCCGUGUACAGCCGAUUGCAGUCACCUCCAACUGAGGGUUCUCUGCUCGACAUAGUCCUCUGUCUCCGAUGGAUUGUUAGAUCUGGGAAGGCUUUGAAGAACAAUUUGGAGAAAUAUAUUGCUGCUACAAUUUUGUGAUGAACUUUUCGCAGGACUCCUUUCAAACUAA
Molecule: unclassified non-coding RNA, 287 nt
Filed under: Hevea brasiliensis (rubber tree)
Lineage: Eukaryota; Viridiplantae; Streptophyta; Magnoliopsida; Malpighiales; Euphorbiaceae
Source: RNAcentral